CAGGCUGUUGUGUCUUGCAUAUCUGAUUGGAACUUGGAGAGCAGGCUAUUUACCCUUACCCUUGAUCAACCCUUUUCAAAUGAAAACAUAAUUGUAAAUCUCAGAGGCCUGUUGUCUGUCAAGAACCCACUUUUGUUCAAUGGUCAAUUAUUGAAAGGGAAUUGCUAUGCUCGUGUUUUAAAUCGUCUUGCACAAGAUGCACUUGGAGCAAUGGGGGAAGUUAUCAGGAGAAUCCGUGAAAGUGUGAAGUAUGUGAAAACCUCAGAAACGCAUGAUGAGAAGUUUGCUGAGCUGAGGCAACGACUUCAAGUCCCUAGUACAAAAGAGCUCAUCAUUGAUGAUCAAACCAAAUGGAACACUACUUACCAAAUGCUGGUGGCUGCCUGUGAAUUAAAGGAAGUCUUUGCUUGCUUGGACACCUCUGACCCUGUUUACAAGAUAAAUCCAUCAAUGGAUGAUUGGAAGCAGGUGGA
This 473-nucleotide unclassified non-coding RNA is filed under the name Hevea brasiliensis (rubber tree). Lineage: Eukaryota; Viridiplantae; Streptophyta; Magnoliopsida; Malpighiales; Euphorbiaceae. The record is from RNAcentral.